Molecule: ribosomal RNA, 484 nt
Filed under: uncultured bacterium
Lineage: Bacteria
Description: partial 16S ribosomal RNA
Rfam family: Bacterial small subunit ribosomal RNA
Source: RNAcentral
AUUGAACGCUGGCGGCAGGCCUAACACAUGCAAGUCAAGCGGAUGAAGGGAGCUUGCUCCUGGAUUCAGCGGCGGACGGGUGAGUAAUGCCUAGGAAUCUGCCUGGUAGUGGGGGAUAACGUCCGGAAACGGGCGCUAAUACCGCAUACGUCCUGAGGGAGAAAGUGGGGGAUCUUCGGACCUCACGCUAUCAGAUGAGCCUAGGUCGGAUUAGCUAGUUGGUGGGGUAAAGGCCUACCAAGGCGACGAUCCGUAACUGGUCUGAGAGGAUGAUCAGUCACACUGGAACUGAGACACGGUCCAGACUUCUACGGGAGGCAGCAGUGGGGAAUAUUGGACAAUGGGCGAAAGCCUGAUCCAGCCAUGCCGCGUGUGUGAAGAAGGUCUUCGGAUUGUAAAGCACUUUAAGUUGGGAGGAAGGGCAGUAAGUUAAUACCUUGCUGUUUUGACGUUACCAACAGAAUAAGCACCGGCUAACUUCGUG